This 348-nucleotide unclassified non-coding RNA is filed under the name soil metagenome. Its description in RNAcentral is "partial contains 5.8S ribosomal RNA, internal transcribed spacer 2, and large subunit ribosomal RNA". The stretch from base 1 to 120 matches the Rfam family "5.8S ribosomal RNA", at positions 35 to 154 of the family's 154-position model. The record is from RNAcentral.
GAUGAAGAACGUAGCGAAAUGCGAUAAGUAAUGUGAAUUGCAGAAUUCCGUGAAUCAUCGAAUCUUUGAACGCACAUUGCGCCCGCCAGUAUUCUGGCGGGCAUGCCUGUCUGAGCGUCAUUUCAACCCUCAUGCCCCUAGGGCGUGGUGUUGGGGAUCGGCCAAAGCCCGCGAGGGACGGCCGGCCCCUAAAUCUAGUGGCGGACCCGUCGUGGCCUCCUCUGCGAAGUAGUGAUAUUCCGCAUCGGAGAGCGACGAGCCCCUGCCGUUAAACCCCCAACUUUCCAAGGUUGACCUCAGAUCAGGUAGGAAUACCCGCUGAACUUAAGCAUAUCAAUAAGCGGACGA